AGAAAGGUGAGAAUCCUUUCGGCCGAAUAUCCAAGGUUUCCAGGGUAAAGCUGAUCUGCCCUGGGUAAGUCGGGGCCUAAGGCGAGGCAGAAAUGCGUAGUCGAUGGACAGCAGGUUGAGAUUCCUGCACCCGUAAUGAACAGAACUGUAGUGACACGGAAGGUAGGACAGAGCCGGGAAUGAGAAAACCGGUGCAAGCACAAUAGAUGUGCGGGAGGAAAAACCCCCGUAUAAGUCGAAGGUGUGAUGCGGACCGAAAAAGAGUAGGGAAGCUGUUAAGCAAGCCGUCAAGAAAAGCUGCUAUUGUUUCAUUAUGGCCCGUACCGUAAACCGACACAGGUGGAUGGGGAGAGAAUCCUAAGGCCGGCGGAAGAAGUAUUGUUAAGGAACUCGGCAAAAUGACCCCGUGACUUCGGGAGAAGGGGUGCCUGCGAGAGCAGGCCGCAGAGAAGAGGCCCAAGCAACUGUUUAGCAAAAACACAGGUCUAUGCAAAACCGAAAGGUGAGGUAUAUGGGCUGACGCCUGCCCGGUGCUGGAAGGUUAAGGGGAGUGGUCAGGAAACGAAGCCACGAACUUAAGCCCCAGUAAACGGCGGCCGUAACUAUAACGGUCCUAAGGUAGCGAAAUUCCUUGUCGGGUAAGAUCCGACCCGCACGAAAGGCGUAAUGAUUUGGGCGCUGUCUCGACAAUACAUCCGGUGAAAUUGAAGUGCCAGUGAAGAUGCUGGCUACCUGCGCCAGGACGGAAAGACCCCAUGGAGCUUUACUCCAGCUUGAUACUGGGACCCGGUAUUGCAUGUACAGGAUAGGUGGGAGGCUAGGAAAUGUGGACGCCAGUCUGCAUGGAGCCGCUGUUGGGAUACCACCCUUGUGGUGCUGGGUUUCUAACCAGAGGCCGUGAACCGGUCUGGGGACAAUGUCAGGUGGGGAGUUUGACUGGGGCGGUCGCCUCCGAAAGGGUAUCGGAGGCGCCCAAAGGUUCCCUCAGAAUGGUUGGAAACCAUUCGAAGAGUGCAAAGGCAGAAGGGAGCUUGACUGUGACACCGACGGGUGGAGCAGGUACGAAAGUAGGGCUUAGUGAUCCGGUGGAAUUUAAGUGGGAAUGCCAUCGCUCAACGGAUAAAAGCUACCCUGGGAUAACAGGCUGAUCACUCCCAAGAGUUCACAUCGACGGAGUGGUUUGGCACCUCGAUGUCGGCUCAUCGCAUCCUGGGGCUGAAGUCGGUCCCAAGGGUUGGGCUGUUCGCCCAUUAAAGCGGUACGCGAGCUGGGUUCGGAACGUCGUGAGACAGUUCGGUCCCUAUCCGGCGUGGGCGUAGGAUAUCUGAGAGGAGCUGUCCUUAGUACGAGAGGACCGGGAUGGACUGACCUCUGGUGUACCGGUUGGCGAUCAACGCCACGGCCGGGUAGCCAUGUCGGGACGGGAUAAACGCUGAAGGCAUCUAAGCGUGAAGCCCCCCUCAAGAUGAGAUAUCCCAUCGUAAGAGUAAGACCCCUUGAAGACGACGAGGUUGAUAGGGCAGGGGUGGAAGUGCUGUAAGGCAUGGAGCUGACUGCUACUAAUCGGUCGAGGGCUUGACCA
Molecule: ribosomal RNA, 1582 nt
Filed under: metagenome
Description: bacterial LSU rRNA
Rfam family: Bacterial large subunit ribosomal RNA
Source: RNAcentral